AGCUUGAAUCAGUAGGUGCCACUCAAUUGUGGGGAUGGAAAUGAAAAAAGAUAAUGUUGUAUAGAUGGGCAGCCCGCUGUAAUUUGUGCCUAGCCUAUGCUAGUAUAUAAAGGUUUGGAUCAUAUAAUGGUUGCGGAUCAAAUCAGGUCAUUGAGUAUAAGAUCCAUAUAAAUCUAAAAAUUCAGGUGGGUCGGAUUGGAUCG
This 203-nucleotide long non-coding RNA is filed under the name Elaeis guineensis (African oil palm). RNAcentral's name for it is "long non-coding RNA (EGUI_LNC003684)". Lineage: Eukaryota; Viridiplantae; Streptophyta; Magnoliopsida; Arecales; Arecaceae. The record is from RNAcentral.